UUGGGCUUAAAGUGUGCGUAGGCGGUGAGUUAAGUCUGCCCGUGAAAAUCCCCUGGGGCUCAACCUGGGAACUGCGGUAGAUACUGGCUUGCUGGAGUAUGGGAGAGGGUGAUGGAAUUCCAGGUGUAGCGGUGAAAAUGCGUAGAGAUCUGGAGGAACAUCAGUGGCGAAGGCGGUCACCUGGCCCAAUACUGACGCUGAGGCGCGAAAGCGUGGGGAGCAAACAGGAUUAGAUACCCGCGUA
RNAcentral lists this ribosomal RNA (244 nucleotides) under uncultured Pseudomonadota bacterium. RNAcentral describes it as "uncultured proteobacterium partial 16S ribosomal RNA". It matches the Rfam family "Bacterial small subunit ribosomal RNA", at positions 554 to 792 of the family's 1533-position model. The record is from RNAcentral. Lineage: Bacteria; Pseudomonadati; Pseudomonadota.